RNAcentral lists this ribosomal RNA (332 nucleotides) under uncultured Chondromyces sp. RNAcentral describes it as "bacterial SSU rRNA". It matches the Rfam family "Bacterial small subunit ribosomal RNA", at positions 568 to 898 of the family's 1533-position model. The record is from RNAcentral. Lineage: Bacteria; Pseudomonadati; Myxococcota; Polyangiales; Polyangiaceae.
CAUGUAGGCGGCUGCGCAAGUCGGGUGUGAAAGCCCUGGGCUCAACCCAGGAAGUGCACUCGAAACUGCGUAGCUGGAGUCUCGGAGAGGGAGGCGGAAUUCUGGGUGUAGAGGUGAAAUUCGUAGAUAUCCAGAGGAACACCGGUGGCGAAGGCGGCCUCCUGGACGAGAACUGACGCUGAGAUGCGAAAGCGUGGGGAGCAAACAGGAUUAGAUACCCUGGUAGUCCACGCCGUAAACGAUGAGUGCUAGAUGUCGCGGGCAUUGACCCCUGCGGUGUCGUAGCUAACGCAUUAAGCACUCCGCCUGGGGAGUACGGCCGCAAGGCUAAA